RNAcentral lists this transfer RNA (78 nucleotides) under Planobispora longispora. RNAcentral's name for it is "tRNA-Glu". It matches the Rfam family "tRNA". From Rfam's summary of the family: Transfer RNA (tRNA) molecules are approximately 80 nucleotides in length. Their secondary structure includes four short double-helical elements and three loops (D, anti-codon, and T loops). Further hydrogen bonds mediate the characteristic L-shaped molecular structure. tRNAs have two regions of fundamental functional importance: the anti-codon, which is responsible for specific mRNA codon recognition, and the 3' end, to which the tRNAs corresponding amino acid is attached (by aminoacyl-tRNA synthetases). tRNAs cope with the degeneracy of the genetic code in two manners: having more than one tRNA (with a specific anti-codon) for a particular amino acid; and 'wobble' base-pairing, i.e. permitting non-standard base-pairing at the 3rd anti-codon position. Lineage: Bacteria; Bacillati; Actinomycetota; Actinomycetes; Streptosporangiales; Streptosporangiaceae. The record is from RNAcentral.
GGCUCGUUGGUCUAGGCAGGUCCAGGACACCUGGUUCUCACCCAGGAGGACAUCGGUUCGAAUCCGAUACGAGCUACC